RNAcentral lists this small RNA (42 nucleotides) under Plasmodium falciparum 3D7. RNAcentral's name for it is "Pfa-mtR7036". Lineage: Eukaryota; Apicomplexa; Aconoidasida; Haemosporida; Plasmodiidae. The record is from RNAcentral.
UAGAAAUAAAAUUAUAACAUUAUUAAAUCCUUUAACAUCAAG